RNAcentral lists this transfer RNA (66 nucleotides) under Micronychus sp. UPOL MT0019. RNAcentral describes it as "tRNA-Phe". The record is from RNAcentral. Lineage: Eukaryota; Metazoa; Arthropoda; Insecta; Coleoptera; Lycidae.
AUUUUAAUAGCUUAUUUAGAGCAUAAUAUUGAAGAUAUUAAGGAAGUAAAAUUACUUUAAAAUAUU